GAUGAGAACGCAGCGAAAUGCGAUAAGUAGUGUGAAUUGCAGAAUUCAGUGAAUCAUCGAAUCUUUGAACGCACAUUGCGCCCAUCAGUAUUCUGUUGGGCAUGCCUGUCCGAGCGUCAUUUCAACCCUCAGGGCCCGUUCGCGGGAACUGGUGUUGGGGAUCGGCCUCCCCCCGGAGGCCGGCCCCGAAAUGCAGUGGCGGCUCUACCGCGAUCUCCUCUGUGUAGUAGCGAUACCUCGCAGCUGGAUAGUGGUGGUGCCACGCCGUAAAAUCCCAACUUUACCAAGGUUGACCUCGGAUCAGGUAGGAAUACCCGCUGAACUUAAGCAUAUCAAUAAGCGGAGGA
RNAcentral lists this unclassified non-coding RNA (347 nucleotides) under soil metagenome. RNAcentral describes it as "partial contains 5.8S ribosomal RNA, internal transcribed spacer 2, and large subunit ribosomal RNA". The stretch from base 5 to 119 matches the Rfam family "5.8S ribosomal RNA", at positions 40 to 154 of the family's 154-position model. The record is from RNAcentral.